Molecule: ribosomal RNA, 432 nt
Filed under: uncultured bacterium
Lineage: Bacteria
Description: partial 16S ribosomal RNA
Rfam family: Bacterial small subunit ribosomal RNA
Source: RNAcentral
AACGAACGCUGGCGGCAUGCCUAACACAUGCAAGUCGAACGAGACCUUCGGGUCUAGUGGCGCACGGGUGCGUAACGCGUGGGAACCUGCCCUUAGGUUCGGAAUAACUCCCCGAAAGGGGUGCUAAUACCGGAUAAUGUCUUCGGACCAAAGAUUUAUCGCCUUUGGAUGGGCCCGCGUUGGAUUAGCUAGUUGGUAGGGUAAAAGCCUACCAAGGCGACGAUCCAUAGCUGGUCUGAGAGGAUGAUCAGCCACACUGGGACUGAGACACGGCCCAGACUCCUACGGGAGGCAGCAGUGGGGAAUAUUGGACAAUGGGCGAAAGCCUGAGCCAGCAAUGCCGCGUGAGUGAUGAAGGCCUUAGGGUUGUAAAGCUCUUUUACCCGGGAUGAUAAUGACAGUACCGGGAGAAGAAGCUCCGGCUAACUCCGU